GCCCGGGUGGCGAAACUGGCAGACGCACGGGACUUAAAAUCCCGAGGGGCUCACCGCUCCGUGAGGGUUCAACUCCCUCCCCGGGCACCA
This 90-nucleotide transfer RNA is filed under the name Terriglobia bacterium. RNAcentral describes it as "tRNA-Leu". It matches the Rfam family "tRNA". Rfam says of the family: Transfer RNA (tRNA) molecules are approximately 80 nucleotides in length. Lineage: Bacteria; Pseudomonadati; Acidobacteriota; Terriglobia. The record is from RNAcentral.